GACGAACGCUGGCGGCGUGCUUAACACAUGCAAGUCGAGCGGGAAACUUCGGUUUCCAGCGGCGGACGGGUGAGUAACACGUGGGCAACCUGCCUCACAAUGAGGGAUAGCCUUCCGAAAGGAAGAUUAAUACCUCAUAACACAAGAGAAACGCAUGUUUCUCUCGCCAAAGAAUUUCGUUGUGAGAUGGGCCCGCGGCGCAUUAGCUUGUUGGUGAGGUAACGGCUCACCAAGGCUUCGAUGCGUAGCCGACCUGAGAGGGUGAUCGGCCACAUUGGAAAUGAGACACGGUCCAGACUCCUACGGGAGGCAGCAGUGGGGAAUAUUGCACAAUGGAGGAAACUCUGAUGCAGCAACGCCGCGUGAGUGAUGAAGGUCUUCGGAUUGUAAAGCUCUGUCUUCUGGGACGAUAAUGACGGUACCAGAGGAGGAAGCCACGGCUAACUACGUGCCAGCCGCCGCCGUAA
Molecule: ribosomal RNA, 467 nt
Filed under: uncultured bacterium
Lineage: Bacteria
Description: partial 16S ribosomal RNA
Rfam family: Bacterial small subunit ribosomal RNA
Source: RNAcentral